GAUGAACGCUAGCUACAGACUUAACACACGCAAGUCGAGGGGAAACGAUAUUGGAAGCUUGCUUCCGAUAGGCGUCGACCGGCGCACGGGUGAGUAACGCGUAUCCAACCUGCCCACCACUUGGGGAUAACCUUGCGAAAGUAAGACUAAUACCCAAUGAUAUCUCUAGAAGACAUCUGAAGGAGAUUAAAGAUUUAUCGGCGAUGGAUGGGGAUGCGUCUGAUUAGCUUGUUGGCGGGGUAACGGCCCACCAAGGCGACGAUCAGUAGGGGUUCUGAGAGGAAGGUCCCCCACAUUGGAACUGAGACACGGUCCAAACUCCUACGGGAGGCAGCAGUGAGGAAUAUUGGUCAAUGGACGAGAGUCUGAACCAGCCAAGUAGCGUGCAGGAUGACGGCCCUAUGGGUUGUAAACUGCUUUUAUAAGGGAAUAAAGUGAGUCUCGUGAGACUUUUUGCAUGUACCUUAUGAAUAAGGACCGGCUAAUUCCGUGCCAGCAGCCGCCGUAA
This 508-nucleotide ribosomal RNA is filed under the name uncultured bacterium. Its description in RNAcentral is "partial 16S ribosomal RNA". It matches the Rfam family "Bacterial small subunit ribosomal RNA", at positions 28 to 523 of the family's 1533-position model. The record is from RNAcentral.